UGGGGAAUAUUGGACAAUGGGCGCAAGCCUGAUCCAGCCAUGCCGCGUGAGUGAUGAAGGCCUUAGGGUUGUAAACUGCUUUUGUACGGAACGAAAAGGUGCCUUCUAAUAAAGGGCGCUCAUGACGGUACCGUAAGAAUAAGCACCGGCUAACUACGUGCCAGCAGCCGCGGUAAUACGUAGGGUGCGAGCGUUAAUCGGAAUUACUGGGCGUAAAGCGUGCGCAGGCGGUUUUGUAAGACAGAGGUGAAAUCCCCGGGCUCAACCUGGGAACUGCCUUUGUGACUGCAAGGCUGGAGUGCGGCAGAGGGGGAUGGAAUUCCGCGUGUAGCAGUGAGAUGCGUAGAUAUGCGGAGGAACACCGAUGGCGAAGGCAAUCCCCUGGGCCUGCACUGACGCUCAUGCACGAAAGCGUGGGGAGCAAACA
This 427-nucleotide ribosomal RNA is filed under the name uncultured bacterium. RNAcentral describes it as "bacterial SSU rRNA". It matches the Rfam family "Bacterial small subunit ribosomal RNA", at positions 355 to 774 of the family's 1533-position model. The record is from RNAcentral.